AUUCCCGCAUAUAUUCCAAAUCUUCCCCGAGAAAUGGCGGAUGUAAAUUCCGUCGAAUUUUGAUCAAGGAUUCUUGUGUGGUUGGUGGGGACAAUUUGCUUUCGGCUUCUUGCUUGAAAUGUUCGAAACGUGCCUUCAUUUCUCCAGGCUGAAGAAGAAGUUUGAUCCGUUUAUCAGCCUCCUCAAACAUGGUCUCAACAUCUUGAUUGACUAGCCAUUAUCCUUAAACUAGCUCUGUCAUAAUAGUUGGAGAUGGUCGUUCAUCAUCGUUGGCAAUUGUUUCCUUUGGCCGCCAUUUAGGGACCGAAGCUUCUUGGGCUGACCGUCGGCGCGCCAUGCAGUCUAUUCUUUGGUGUCUACAUUUCUGGGACUUGGACAAUGCGGUGUACACACCUUUCGAAGAGUGAUACGUAUACCAACGCUGGUCCCGAGG
Molecule: long non-coding RNA, 433 nt
Filed under: Malus domestica (apple)
Lineage: Eukaryota; Viridiplantae; Streptophyta; Magnoliopsida; Rosales; Rosaceae
Description: long non-coding RNA (MDOM_LNC004532)
Source: RNAcentral